UACUCUUAUAGCUUAAACCCAAAGUAUAGCGCUGAAAACGCUAAGAUGAACCCUAAAAAGUUCUAAGGGUA
Molecule: transfer RNA, 71 nt
Filed under: Rhacophorus modestus
Lineage: Eukaryota; Metazoa; Chordata; Amphibia; Anura; Rhacophoridae
Description: tRNA-Phe
Rfam family: tRNA
About the family: Transfer RNA (tRNA) molecules are approximately 80 nucleotides in length. Their secondary structure includes four short double-helical elements and three loops (D, anti-codon, and T loops).
Source: RNAcentral